This 294-nucleotide ribosomal RNA is filed under the name uncultured Pleuroflammula. RNAcentral describes it as "partial 18S ribosomal RNA". It matches the Rfam family "Eukaryotic small subunit ribosomal RNA", at positions 1333 to 1648 of the family's 1831-position model. Lineage: Eukaryota; Fungi; Basidiomycota; Agaricomycetes; Agaricales; Strophariaceae. The record is from RNAcentral.
GAACGAGCCUUUAACUUGCAAAAAACCCAGCCCGGCUUUGGCGGUUCCCGGGCUUUUUAGAGGGACUUUCAGCUUCUAGCGGACGGAAGUUUGAGGAAAUAACAGGUCUGUGAUGCCCUUAGAUGUUUGGGGCCGCACGCGCGCUCCACUGACAGAGCCAGGGAGUUUUUUCCCUUGGCCGGAAGGUCUGGGUAAUCUUGUGAAACUCUGUCGUGCUGGGGAUAGAGCAUUGCAAUUAUUGCUCUUCAACGAGGAAUACCUAGUAAGCGUGAGUCAUCAGCUCGCGUUGAUUAC